This 253-nucleotide ribosomal RNA is filed under the name uncultured bacterium. RNAcentral describes it as "partial 16S ribosomal RNA". It matches the Rfam family "Bacterial small subunit ribosomal RNA", at positions 524 to 776 of the family's 1533-position model. The record is from RNAcentral.
UACGGAGGAUCCAAGCGUUAUCCGGAUUUAUUGGGUUUAAAGGGUGCGUAGGCGGCCUUGUAAGUCAGGGGUGAAAGACGGUAGCUUAACUAUCGCAGUGCCUUUGAUACUGCAGGGCUUGAAUGUACUUGAGGUAGGCGGAAUGUGACAAGUAGCGGUGAAAUGCAUAGAUAUGUCACAGAACACCAAUUGCGAAGGCAGCUUACUAAAGUAUGAUUGACGCUGAGGCACGAAAGCGUGGGGAUCAAACAGG